UAUGUAGCUUGCCUGAGUAGUCCAGCAGACAGCCCCUUGUAAAAGGCAGCAACACCCUCCUCCUUUAGCAUGUUCUUUGUCACCUGAGCCGCUGAGCCUUGACCCAAUUGAAUCCUCACCUUAAUCAUAUCGAUGGGCUGGAUGACACAGGUGGCAAGCAUACCUGAGGCACCACCAUUAACGAAAGGCUUAACGGUAGGCCAAACACCAGCUGAUUGAGGCUUCUUCUCUUCUCCCAUUACUGUGCUUUCUUCUUUGGAUUCCAACGAACUGAGAGAGAGAGAGAGAGAGAGAGAGAG
Molecule: unclassified non-coding RNA, 299 nt
Filed under: Hevea brasiliensis (rubber tree)
Lineage: Eukaryota; Viridiplantae; Streptophyta; Magnoliopsida; Malpighiales; Euphorbiaceae
Source: RNAcentral